Molecule: ribosomal RNA, 506 nt
Filed under: uncultured Glomeraceae
Lineage: Eukaryota; Fungi; Glomeromycota; Glomeromycetes; Glomerales; Glomeraceae
Description: SSU rRNA
Rfam family: Eukaryotic small subunit ribosomal RNA
Source: RNAcentral
AGCAGCCGCGGUAAUUCCAGCUCCAAUAGCGUAUAUUAAAGUUGUUGCAGUUAAAAAGCUCGUAGUUGAAUUUCGGGGUUAGUAGGCUGGUCAUGCCUCUGUAUGUACUGGCCACACUGAUUCCUCCUUCCUGAUGAACCGUAAUGCCAUUAAUUUGGUGUUGCGGGGAAUUUGGACUGUUACUUUGAAAAAUUAGAGUGUUUAAAGCAGGCUAACGCUUGAAUACAUUAGCAUGGAAUAAUGAAAUAGGACGUUCGAUCUUAUUUUGUUGGUUUCUAAGAUUGACGUAAUGAUUAAUAGGGAUAGUUGGGGGCAUUAGUAUUCAAUUGUCAGAGGUGAAAUUCUUGGAUUUAUUGAAGACUAACUACUGCGAAAGCAUUUGCCAAGGAUGUUUUCAUUAAUCAAGAACGAAAGUUAGGGGAUCGAAGACGAUCAGAUACCGUCGUAGUCUUAACCAUAAACUAUGCCGACUAGGGAUCGGAUGAUGUUAAUUUUUAAUGUACUCA